RNAcentral lists this ribosomal RNA (469 nucleotides) under Acrobeloides sp. Sourhope farm. Its description in RNAcentral is "SSU rRNA". It matches the Rfam family "Eukaryotic small subunit ribosomal RNA", at positions 107 to 573 of the family's 1831-position model. Lineage: Eukaryota; Metazoa; Nematoda; Chromadorea; Rhabditida; Cephalobidae. The record is from RNAcentral.
CCGCUAUAAUUUACUUGAUCUUGACACAAUCCUACUUGGAUAACUGUGGUAAUUCUAGAGCUAAUACAUGCAUUAAAGCUCUGACCUCACGGGAAGAGUGCAUUUAUUAGAACAAAACCAAGCGGCUUCGGCUGUUUCUGGUUGACUCAUAGUAACUGAGCUGAUCGCAUGGUCUUGCACCGGCGACGUGUCUUUCAAGUAUCUGCCGUAUCAACUUUCGAUGGUAGUGUAUCUGACUACCAUGGUGAUCACGCGUAACGGAGAAUAAGGGUUCGGCUCCGGAGAGUUCGCCUGAGAAAUCGCGAACACAUCUAAGGAAGGCAGCAGGCGCGAAAAUUACCCACUCUCAGCACGAGGAGGUAGUGACCAAAAAUAACGAGACCGUUCUCUUAUGAGGCCGGUCAUCGGAAUGGGUACAAUUUAAACCCUUUAACGAGUAUCUAUGAGAGGGCAAGUCUGGUGCCAGCAG